This 190-nucleotide ribosomal RNA is filed under the name uncultured bacterium. RNAcentral describes it as "partial 16S ribosomal RNA". It matches the Rfam family "Bacterial small subunit ribosomal RNA", at positions 338 to 525 of the family's 1533-position model. The record is from RNAcentral.
CCUACGGGAGGCAGCAGUGAGGGAUAUUGGUCAAUGGAGGCAACUCUGAACCAGCCAAGUCGCGUGAAGGAUGACGGCCCUACGGGUUGUAAACUUCUUUUGUAAGGGAAUAAAGUGUAGUACGUGUACUAUUUUGCAUGUACCUUACGAAUAAGGAUCGGCUAACCCCGUGCCAGCAGCCGCGGUAAUA